ACAGGAAGUAGGACAGAGCAAUGGAGGGAAGCCAGAUUUAAUGUCAGAAGUCUGGACCAUCAAUUUUAUCCCUUCCCAUUGCCUCCUUUUAAAUUUUAGUCAAUUCAAUAAAUAUUUUCAACUCCUCGUCUGUACCAGGCACCAAGCCACAGAAUGGAGUUCUGGCAAUGAACACUGCAGACAUGGCCGCCUUUAGCCUCAUGGAGCUUAGGGUCUGGGAGCAUUGUCAGUUUCUGAAUCCUCCAAGUGCUAAACUAUCUUCUCUCUUCAAAUUAGAGAAAAGAAAUGAGACAGCAGGCCUGCUUCUUUGAGUGUUUUUUUCUUUUUUGUUUCCGUUUUCUGACAACCAUACUUCACGUCUGACAGAGGAAAUGAUUCUUUUUGUCAGUGAUAAAUUUAUGAGUUUUGACUGUUUGUGAAGUUCCCUAAUUAAUUCUUUAUAGACUUCUAUUGGCAACUGAAUUUGUGUUUUGAGUUAAAAAUGGGAGUUCAGAUGAAUUACAGUUGAACAUUCUGCUCCCUUUGAAGAGCUCAUACUCCACAUUCUACGCUGUUAAUCUCUCUGCUUACUGAGAGGCACCGUUUGUCUUGCAGUGACGCACGGUGGGUGGUUACCAUGGCAUAGGAAAACAUUGCCAGCGCUGGCCCUGUCGUCAUGGAACCCCUGGGCCAUCUCCUGAGAAACUUGGUUGGAAUAAAUGCAGAUGCUGCAAAUUGAUGGAGGCCUGGUGUCUUCCAGAGUGGAGGUAAAGGCUGGCUGAGGAAUCAGUGAGGCCAGGAAGAGGGCUCAGCUGAGCAACUGAUCAAAGCAUCCCUCUUCAGGAAGGAGCUUCCUGUGUUUUCUCUGGGAACUCACCUGUUUUCCACUCCAGACUCUCCAAGAUAUGCAGAGCUUUGGGCCAGGAUCCUACAGCCACGGGUCAUGCAGAGCCAGUUGGCCACAUCCUUUGGGCCAAAUUUGGUCCUAACCAGGUCUUACCACGGUAACUGCUAACCAGUCCAUCUUCAGUUAAUAUUUCAUGCGUAGGAAUUGUUGAACAUCUUACCAUUUAAUCCAGAAGUUAUGUCCUUUAAGGAAUCGACCCUGAGCCUAAAACAAUGGGCAAGUCAGCUCAUGAAGAACUUUUCAGAUAUUCAGACUAUUAUUCUGAGAGAGAAAAUAUUGGCAGAGAACAGAUGGGAUUUUUCUCAAGGAAAAGAAAUGGAAAUCCUACAUCUUGCAAGAAAUAGAAAAAAAUAAAUAAACUGUUUGAAGAAGAAUCACAUCAGGCUGGCAGGAGAGAGCCUGCGGCUCGGUGUCUGACCCAGAAUGUUAAAGCCAGCCUGGCUUGGCUCCAGGAUAAAGGACACUCUGUCAGCCUCUCCACAUUGAUUCAUCUCCCCAGCCCCAAGAUCAGGAGAGCAUUCUGUUCCUUGAAGCAUUUUAUGACUGUAAGUCAGAAGUGCUGCAGUUUUAAUAAAAAGCUGUAUUGUCCU
Homo sapiens (human) is the source of this 1476-nucleotide long non-coding RNA. Lineage: Eukaryota; Metazoa; Chordata; Mammalia; Primates; Hominidae. The record is from Ensembl.